RNAcentral lists this non-coding RNA (85 nucleotides) under Luteibacter rhizovicinus. The record is from RNAcentral. Lineage: Bacteria; Pseudomonadati; Pseudomonadota; Gammaproteobacteria; Lysobacterales; Rhodanobacteraceae.
UUUUGAGGCGGGCGUGUCGGGCGGACUUCGGUCCGGCCGGUUUCAGUUGCACCGGUAAGGCUAUCUCGGCACGCCCGCCACCCGC